CGUGGACAUCCUGCAGCAGUUUGCACGCUCGCGAUCGCCCGUUCGCUACGGGCAGUGCUGGGUCUUCAGCGGGGUCACCACCACGGUCCUGCGGAGUGUGGGCAUCCCCACGCGCAGCGUCACCAACUUUGUUGUUGUGUGUGUGUAAGUGUGUGUAAGUGUGUGAGUGUGACAGUGUUGUUGUUGUUGUGGUUGUUGUUGUCGUUGUUGUUGUUGUGGCUCUCAGUCCUGCGGAGUGUGGGCAUCCCCACGCGCAGCGUCACCAACUUUGUUGUUGUUGUUGUUGUUGUUGUUGUUGUGGUUGUUGUUGUUGUGGCUCUCAGUCCUGCGGAGUGUGGGCAUCCCCACGCGCAGCGUCACCAACUUUGUUGUUGUGUGUGUGUAA
Molecule: non-coding RNA, 385 nt
Organism: Petromyzon marinus (sea lamprey)
Lineage: Eukaryota; Metazoa; Chordata; Hyperoartia; Petromyzontiformes; Petromyzontidae
Source: RefSeq, a predicted model, not a curated record